Molecule: ribosomal RNA, 461 nt
Filed under: uncultured bacterium
Lineage: Bacteria
Description: partial 16S ribosomal RNA
Rfam family: Bacterial small subunit ribosomal RNA
Source: RNAcentral
AACGCUGGCGGCGUGCUUAACACAUGCAAGUCGUACGGUAAGGCCCUUUCGGGGGUACACGAGUGGCGAACGGGUGAGUAACACGUGAGUAACCUGCCCACAACUUUGGGAUAACGCUAGGAAACUGGUGCUAAUACUGGAUAUGUGCCCCUGCUGCAUGGUGGGGGUUGGAAAGCUCCGGCGGUUGUGGAUGGACUCGCGGCCUAUCAGCUUGUUGGUGGGGUAGUGGCCUACCAAGGCGGCGACGGGUAGCCGGCCUGAGAGGGUGACCGGCCACAUUGGGACUGAGAUACGGCCCAGACUCCUACGGGAGGCAGCAGUGGGGAAUAUUGCACAAUGGGCGCAAGCCUGAUGCAGCAACGCCGCGUGCGGGAUGACGGCCUUCGGGUUGUAAACCGCUUUCAGCAGGGACGAAGCUUUUUGUGACGGUACCUGCAGAAGAAGCACCGGCUAACUACGUG